CCGAGUUUACAACUCCCAAACCCCAUGUGAACCUACCACUACGUUGCUUCGGCGGGAUGCCCCGGGCGCGGGCCGCAAGGCCUCAGCCCCGGAACCAGGCGCCCGCCGGAGGCCCAAACCAAACUCUUGUUUUUAUAGAAUCUUCUGAGUGGCCUUUUAGGCAACAAAUGAAUCA
This 175-nucleotide unclassified non-coding RNA is filed under the name uncultured fungus. Its description in RNAcentral is "sequence contains ITS1, 5.8S rRNA gene". RNAcentral also lists the same sequence under 1 other name. The record is from RNAcentral. Lineage: Eukaryota; Fungi.